UAGUCCCGCACGAGCGCAACCCUGUCCUUAGUUGCUACGCAAGAGCACUCUAAGGAGACUGCCGGUGGCAAACCGGAGGAAGGUGGGGAUGACGUCAAGUCCUCAUGGCCCUUAUGGGUAGGGCGUUCACACGUCAUACAAUGGUCGGAACAGAGGGUUGCCAACCCGCGAGGGGGAGCUAAUCCCAGAAAACCGAUCGUAGUCCGGAUUGCACUCUGCAACUCGAGUGCAUGAAGCUGGAAUCGCUAGUAAUCGCGGAUCAGCAUGCCGCGGUGAAUACGUUCCCGGGUCUU
This 293-nucleotide ribosomal RNA is filed under the name uncultured Burkholderia sp. RNAcentral's name for it is "partial 16S ribosomal RNA". It matches the Rfam family "Bacterial small subunit ribosomal RNA", at positions 1082 to 1382 of the family's 1533-position model. Lineage: Bacteria; Pseudomonadati; Pseudomonadota; Betaproteobacteria; Burkholderiales; Burkholderiaceae. The record is from RNAcentral.